AUUGAACGCUGGCGGCAUGCUUUACACAUGCAAGUCGAACGGGGUGAGGAGCUUGCUCCUCAUCUAGUGGCGAACGGGUGAGUAAUACAUCGGAACGUACCGUGUAGUGGGGGAUAACGUAGCGAAAGUUACGCUAAUACCGCAUACGAUCCACGGAUGAAAGCAGGGGACCUUCGGGCCUUGUGCUAUACGAGCGGCCGAUGUCUGAUUAGCUAGUUGGUGGGGUAAAGGCCCACCAAGGCAACGAUCAGUAGCGGGUCUGAGAGGAUGAUCCGCCACACUGGGACUGAGACACGGCCCAGACUCCUACGGGAGGC
Molecule: ribosomal RNA, 317 nt
Filed under: uncultured bacterium
Lineage: Bacteria
Description: bacterial SSU rRNA
Rfam family: Bacterial small subunit ribosomal RNA
Source: RNAcentral